Molecule: long non-coding RNA, 696 nt
Organism: Myotis lucifugus (little brown bat)
Lineage: Eukaryota; Metazoa; Chordata; Mammalia; Chiroptera; Vespertilionidae
Exons: 2
Source: RefSeq, a predicted model, not a curated record
CGGACGCACCCAGAGCGAACUCAGGCAGCGAACGAAGCUCGGCCGCCAUAUUGGGGGAGCCCGGCGAUUCUGCGGAGCCGGCAGAGGCUUUAGGAAGCGCGGGAGGCGAGUGGUGGAGCACUGGGGACGGUGAGGUGGAGGACAAGCCCGUAGGAGAUCGGGGGCCGGAGUCUGGGAACCGGGAGGUGGAGGUAUCAUCUGGAGACAGAUGUAGGGCGGGCCUGGCUGGAGGCGGCUUCCAGAGGUCGAAUGGGCCUCGUCCUCACGGCUCUGCGGGGCUUGCCUAGGCCCCUUACGCCUCUUGCUCCAUUUUCUAAGGAAGAUACUGAGGGAGUCAGUUCACGUCUGGGCUCGGAGCAUCAUUUAGACCCUCUGACAGGACCGUCGGGGUGGUCGAUAUCUUUGUUGUGGUGCGGGGGCCCCGGGCGGCGACCUUCUCGCCUGUGGUCGGAGGAGAUUCCACCCACAGAGUUGGGCUGUCCCCUCCAAACAGUCUGUCUGCACUGUGGAAAGAUGGGCGCCUUCUCUUCCUCCUGAGGGUGUCUGAAGGGUUAAAAAUGCUGAUAUACUUUAUGCUGUUUGUCUUCCUCCGUUUUGCACCUCAUUCAGAAAACAAAAGUAACUAGUUAUUUUGGGUCAGGAAGGUAGGCACUUCACACUACUAGAAGUUAAUAAAAACUGUAGCUGAUAAACAAA